GAUGAACGCUGGCGGCGUGCCUAAUACAUGCAAGUCGAGCGAACGGACGAGAAGCUUGCUUUUCUGAUGUUAGCGGCGGACGGGUGAGUAACACGUGGAUAACCUACCUAUAAGACUGGGAUAACUUCGGGAAACCGGAGCUAAUACCGGAUAAUAUUUUGAACCGCAUGGUUCAAAAGUGAAAGACGGUCUUGCUGUCACUUAUAGAUGGAUCCGCGCUGCAUUAGCUAGUUGGUAAGGUAACGGCUUACCAAGGCAACGAUGCAUAGCCGACCUGAGAGGGUGAUCGGCCACACUGGAACUGAGACACGGUCCAGACUCCUACGGGAGGCAGCAGUAGGGAAUCUUCCGCAAUGGGCGAAAGCCUGACGGAGCAACGCCGCGUGAGUGAUGAAGGUCUUCGGAUCGUAAAACUCUGUUAUUAGGGAAGAACAUAUGUGUAAGUAACUGUGCACAUCUUGACGGUACCUAAUCAGAAAGCCACGGCUAACUACGUGCCAGCAGCCGCGGUAAUACGUCGGUGGCAAGCGUUAUCCGGAAUUAUUGGGCGUAAAGCGCGCGUAGGCGGUUUUUUAAGUCUGAUGUGAAAGCCCACGGCUCAACCGUGGAGGGUCAUUGGAAACUGGAAAACUUGAGUGCAGAAGAGGAAAGUGGAAUUCCAUGUGUAGCGGUGAAAUGCGCAGAGAUAUGGAGGGACACCAGUGGCGAAGGCGACUUUCUGGUCUGUAACUGACGCUGAUGUGCGAAAGCGUGGGGAUCAAACAGGAUUAGAUACCCUGGUAGUCCACGCCGUAAACGAUGAGUGCUAAGUGUUAGGGGGUUUCCGCCCCUUAGUGCUGCAGCUAACGCAUUAAGCACUCCGCCUGGGGAGUACGACCGCAAGGUUGAAACUCAAAGGAAUUGACGGGGACCCGCACAAGCGGUGGAGCAUGUGGUUUAAUUCGAAGCAACGCGAAGAACCUUACCAAAUCUUGACAUCCUUUGACAACUCUAGAGAUAGAGCCUUCCCCUUCGGGGGACAAAGUGACAGGUGGUGCAUGGUUGUCGUCAGCUCGUGUCGUGAGAUGUUGGGUUAAGUCCCGCAACGAGCGCAACCCUUAAGCUUAGUUGCCAUCAUUAAGUUGGGCACUCUAAGUUGACUGCCGGUGACAAACCGGAGGAAGGUGGGGAUGACGUCAAAUCAUCAUGCCCCUUAUGAUUUGGGCUACACGCGUGCUACAAUGGACAAUACAAAGGGCAGCGAAACCGCGAGGUCAAGCAAAUCCCAUAAAGUUGUUCUCAGUUCGGAUUGUAGUCUGCAACUCGACUACAUGAAGCUGGAAUCGCUAGUAAUCGUAGAUCAGCAUGCUACGGUGAACACGUUCCCGGGUCU
RNAcentral lists this ribosomal RNA (1372 nucleotides) under uncultured bacterium. RNAcentral describes it as "bacterial SSU rRNA". It matches the Rfam family "Bacterial small subunit ribosomal RNA", at positions 28 to 1381 of the family's 1533-position model. The record is from RNAcentral.